GAGGAAGUAAAAGUCGUAACAAGGUUUCCGUAGGUGAACCUGCGGAAGGAUCAUUAACGAGUUCUGAAAGGGGUUGUAGCUGGCCUUCCGGGGCAUGUGCACACCCUGCUCAUCCACUCUACACCUGUGCACUUACUGUAGGUUUGGCGUGGGCUUCGGGGCCUCCGGGCUCUGAGGCAUUCUGCCGGCCUAUGUAUCACUACAAACACAUAAAGUAACAGAAUGUAUUCGCGUCUAACGCAUCUAAAUACAACUUUCAGCAACGGAUCUCUUGGCUCUCGCAUCGAUGAAGAACGCAGCGAAAUGCGAUAAGUAAUGUGAAUUGCAGAAUUCAGUGAAUCAUCGAAUCUUUGAACGCACCUUGCGCUCCUUGGUAUUCCGAGGAGCAUGCCUGUUUGAGUGUCAUGGAMUUCUCAACCCACACGUCCUUGUGAUGUUGCGGGCUUGGAUUUGGAGGCUUGCUGGCCCUCUGCGGUCGGCUCCUCUUGAAUGCAUUAGCUUGAUUCCGUGCGGAUCGGCUCUCAGUGUGAUAAUUGUCUACGCUGUGACCGUGAAGCGUUUGGCGAGCUUCUAACCGUCCUGUAUGGGACAACUUCUUGACAUCUGACCUCAAAUCAGGUAGG
RNAcentral lists this ribosomal RNA (623 nucleotides) under Pycnoporus sp. 1 E8892A. RNAcentral describes it as "eukaryotic LSU rRNA". Lineage: Eukaryota; Fungi; Basidiomycota; Agaricomycetes; Polyporales; Polyporaceae. The record is from RNAcentral.